UGAACAAAAAAAUUUAAAAAAAUCCCAGAGAAGUUCAGCUGAUAAUGCAGUGGAGUCAUCUGCGUAGUGCUAGGAGAGGGCGCAGUCAUGUCUCUCCAGCCAGUGAUAUCAUCAAUACCACUAUGACUUGUGCAGAAUAGAGGUUGGAAGAAACAGAAUUGCCGGUGUUGGCUGGAGACGUUCAGGUGCAAUGUGUGUCUGCAGGCAGUUGCAUGGCCAACCGGCAGCCUGAGUCACACAACAGUCCCUGGCUAAGAGCCGAACUUGGGUGCUAAAACUCCCCUAGCAUCCCCAAAGAGCCAUGGCACUUCUUGGCACUCUUCCAGCUACCAUUUUAUCCAGCGAAUGUGCAGUUUAAGCAAACUUUGUCAUUCCUAAUCGCAUCACCCGCCUUUGGGAAGCCCUGGCCAAGGAGGGCAGGCAGGCUGCCUGCAUCUUUUCCAAGUCUCAAAUCCAGUUCUAGGCUGCUAAAGAUUAGGAUCCCAUCCUCAGCUAGAUUCUGAUGCAGAGAUGCGAUCUGGCCACAGGGGAGGCAACCAAGUGAUGAGGUUGGCUUUCAGACUCGCAGGCAUGGGUAAGCUGCUGGAGGCACUUACUGUUUGGGAAGCCAGCUCCUCUGCAGCAGGUGGCUGCAGCAAGGAAUCGUGUAAGCUCCCAGGAGAGCAGCAUUGCUCUCUGGUGCUUACACUUGUGGUUACUCAGCAGUGUCACAUGCCCUGUGUUUGUUUGUCUUGGGUUUCCCAUGGGUUCUUGCAUUAUGAAUUCCUUCGAGUUACUGGAUCUUGACUUUCUCUGAGACUAGUGCUCUUGCAAGGUCCAAAAGAGGAUAAACUGAUCAUUUCCUGAUCAUGGGGAGCAGCAGCAGUAGGAUGGUGAUGGCUCUGUCAUGCAUCAACUUGAUAAGGUCAGCCACAGUCGUCCUCAUGGAGAGCAGCCAAGGUGCUCAAGGUGCAGCUGAAGUAACAGCUCUUUCCCUCACAGUCCCCAUGUUCCUGAAAGCAGUACUGUGUUCCCAUACAAACUGUAACAAUUUGGAUGUUUUGAAAGGUCCUUACCAGUGGUGAGGAACUCCAGACUAUGUCACACUGCUGUGUUGCAAUAUUGCUUCUUGUUAGGCUUGUAUAUGAUUCUCUUUUCUUUAGUCCUUCACCAAGAUUCUACUAUCCAAUGAGAAGCACGCCUCAUCUGUGCAGCUGUCUUUGGGAAAAGGGCUAUUAACCUACUGUGUUAUUUUUUCUAAAAAAAAAAAAGGAAAUCUGCAAGCACAGGAGUGUGAGAUGGUGGUGUGGGUUUGAGCUGUUCUCACCACUAACCUGUCUUCUGCAGGUCUGUGCCAGCACUGGGGUACGCCCCUGCCCUUGAUGACCUCAGCCCUAACCCUGCCACUGCUACCAGCUUCACGCCUGUGAUGCCAACGGUUGUGACUGUAGGAAAGAUGACCUACUCCAGUCAUCUGGCCGGCAGCCGUGUUAUUUCUUCAUCAGCUUUUGGGGGAGUGUUUCCCACCCCGCACAUGGCUGGAGGCCAGCUGUGUCCCCGGCUGGGGGCUGCUGCCUUGGGUCUCUGCCCUCCGGUGCUCUGACUCACCAAGAUGAGUCUGAAACAAAGAGCUCUCAUAAAAUCUACAGGAAGAUGUAUGAGAAGAUAGAGAUCUCAUUUACCGAGACACCACCAGCUCCUCACUGGCACCAGCAAAUGAAAAAGCAGCACUCUUGUGCCCAGCAAGACCCCAGACCUGCGUACUGGUUGUCAUUGUCGGAAACCAUUAAAGAAUGAGCCAGCAAAGGCCCGGAAAGAUUCCAUGAGUAAUAAUCUUGGAGCUUUGCCCAGGCUUAAUAACAGAAUAACAAACAACAACAUGAAUAAAGGGAGAGCAGGCUAUGCACAAGGGGUCUCCAGUGGCUGCAGGAUCUAUGAAGAUUUGGCUGUUGAUGCUGAGUUUUAAGGCAGUUGGCUCUUCGGGGACCAGCUCCUCCCUUGAAUAUCUCAGUGGAGGACAGCAUUCUGUAUGUGGCACACCAUCUUCUUGCUCUCUUCAUAGGUUUGAAUGCAUCCAGCAAGCCCCUGGAGGCUGGGACUGCCCUCCUGGGAUUAAAAGAAAACUCGACAGUGAGUAUGAUAAGAAGCUCUAGCCUAUGCUACAGUGAGAAAUUCUUGAUGCAAAGAAAGGUGCAGGACUGUGGAAAAAGCCUUCAGUGGUGAAGAUGACUGGAAAGCAGGACAGAUUGCCAAAGAUAACUGAAAGCUUCCAUUGUAAGUUUUUAGAAAUAACAUCCAUCAGGAAGAGUUUAUGUCAAGCUCACCCUACAUGGGUCUUGGGGCACAAAUCUCCCACCCUAUGAAACAGAGCUGACAAUUUCCUUAUUCAAGCUUUUUUUGUGCAGCAGGUGUCCCAGUUAACCUGCUUGCUGUAGUGUGGAAUUGACGACUCAGCUCUUCAGAACAAGAGGCUCUGCCUGCAGAGCCUUCCUUCUAGCACAUACAAACAAAAGAGAGCAGCACUUCUUUUGCUUGUCUCAUAUUGUGUUUUGGAACUCACUUGUGAUGCUCUCAGAGGCUCCGUGCUCCCUUCAGACCUGAAAUCCUCACAGCUGCCACAAAGUUUCUAGCAAACAAACUCAGUGCUUUCAUUUUACACCGGAAACAACAAUUAUGUGGGAAAUCCCCCUCCCACACUCCAGAGUCCAUACUUUGGGUAGCUAGAGCUCACCAUAUACAGCUAUAUAGGUUCAGUGUUAGUUUUAAGAUCUACAAUGUAAAAAGUCACUGGGGUAAACUUUUAAGAUAAGCAUACCAAGCCACUUCAGAUUGAGCCCUCAACUAUACAAAAAUGGCAGAAGACGGUAGGGGACCAAAGCCUUCAUUCUCCUCCCUCCCACUACCCUCUCGCUCAACCCCACACUGCCCUGCCUCAGCAAAUACAACCUACCAAGUGUAGAGCUGCUCACAUUCUGCCAGACCCUACUGAGUUCUCUACUGUUGCCUUUCCCAGCUUCUCCAUUAUCCUGAAGUGAUCUUCUCAGGACAGGAGCUGCUGCUAUCUGUACAGACACUGCCUCUUGCUAUGCCUAAAUCCAGUGCACAUCCCUCAAGAGGAUGCAGGAGAACCACCUGCACAGCUCCCUGCUGCAGCUCUGGUCUAACACAAGCACUGAUUCAUGAAAUUAAGUUAUAGGCAGGUAACCAAGAAACACAUUAUGGAUACACAUUCUCCUCAGUUCUCAAGGGUGCAACAGCAAAGGAAAUUGCAUGGGCAAGGGAAAAAAAAUUAGUUCUCUUUUUCAAAUACUUUCCAAAGGAAAAGCAGAAUGAAUAGGAUUUAUAAGCUUCCUCUUCCAUUUUCUCCCUGAGGAAGCAGUUCCAAUUCCACUAUCCAGAUGGCACAAGAACAAAGAACCAAGUCAUCUUUCAGCAGAUAUGUUAUAGAUAUGGUUAAAAACACAGUGAAUUAACUUCUAAUAUAAGAAUGCUUAAUAUGCCUUCAUAAGCCCAUUCUCUUUGGCACCUAAAGAGUAGAGAUGACACGAGACAGUAAUGCAGCUGGAACACCAUAUGCAGAGUCCAUUCCCUUAUACAGCCUGAGCCGAAUGGCUCCCUGCAAAAUUAAGACUGAAUUUGCUAUCCCAUCUCAGGGAUGGUGAAGCUGCUUGCUGGGAUGUCUGAAUCCUUAGCUGUACCGAUAGGCACAGAGGCUGUUUCUUGCCCUAAGUCCAAGCAGCUCCUGGAAUGUUAGAACACUACCCUAAAAUAAGAUUAGACAAGGACUAGGCUGAUGGGAAAACACUACCCAGAACCCUGAUUUUACUAUUUUAGUAACUGGUGAGAGACCCCAUGACAGCUGGUGCUCAUCUGUCAUAUUAUUGUAAUGCAAAAUAAUUCAGAAGACAGGCUAGAAAAGGCUUUUCCUUUUUACCUUGUUUUCUCAUCUUCUAAUCCAAAGUUUCCUCAACGUGUCAAUUUAUUCAA
Non-coding RNA from Meleagris gallopavo (turkey), 3966 nucleotides. Lineage: Eukaryota; Metazoa; Chordata; Aves; Galliformes; Phasianidae. The record is from RefSeq and is a predicted model, not a curated record.